RNAcentral lists this transfer RNA (66 nucleotides) under Decemunciger sp. AB-2017. Its description in RNAcentral is "tRNA-Phe". The record is from RNAcentral. Lineage: Eukaryota; Metazoa; Annelida; Polychaeta; Terebellida; Ampharetidae.
GUUUAGGUAAUUUAAUUUUAAAAUAUAAUAUUGAAGUCAUUACAUUGGCCUAUUGGCCCCAAAACA